CGUUUCCCAGCCCGCAAAAUACCACCAAGAUAGUAGAAUGAAUCUGCUCCCACCAUCUCUAUUAUUUUACACAAAAUUUCUUCUAGAAGAUUGGAGAUGUUUAGAGAUGCCAUACUAUUGAGUUUUGUUGGAAAUGUUUAUCAGAAGCAUUGAAUAUGUAUAUAUAAAAUAAAGAAAUAAACAAAGGAGUCUUAUGAGUUACUAG
This 205-nucleotide long non-coding RNA is filed under the name Brassica napus (rape). Its description in RNAcentral is "long non-coding RNA (BNAP_LNC009429)". Lineage: Eukaryota; Viridiplantae; Streptophyta; Magnoliopsida; Brassicales; Brassicaceae. The record is from RNAcentral.